AUGCUUAACACAUGCAAGUCGAACGGAAACGACACUAACAAUCCUUCGGGUGCGUUAAUGGGCGUCGAGCGGCGGACGGGUGAGUAAUGCCUAGGAAAUUGCCUUGAUGUGGGGGAUAACCAUUGGAAACGAUGGCUAAUACCGCAUAAUGCCUACGGGCCAAAGAGGGGGAUCUUCGGACCUCUCGCGUCAAGAUAUGCCUAGGUGGGAUUAGCUAGUUGGUGAGGUAAUGGCUCACCAAGGCGACGAUCCCUAGCUGGUCUGAGAGGAUGAUCAGCCACACUGGAACUGAGACACGGUCCAGACUCCUACGGGAGGCAGCAGUGGGGAAUAUUGCACAAUGGGCGCAAGCCUGAUGCAGCCAUGCCGCGUGUAUGAAGAAGGCCUUCGGGUUGUAAAGUACUUUCAGUUGUGAGGAAGGGUGUGUAGUUAAUAGCUGCGCAUCUUGACGUUAGCAACAGAAGAAGCACCGGCUAACUCCGUGCCAGCAGCCGCGGUAAUACGGAGGGUGCGAGCGUUAAUCGGAAUUACUGGGCGUAAAGCGCAUGCAGGUGGUUCAUUAAGUCAGAUGUGAAAGCCCGGGGCUCAACCUCGGAACUGCAUUUGAAACUGGUGAACUAGAGUGCUGUAGAGGGGGGUAGAAUUUCAGGUGUAGCGGUGAAAUGCGUAGAGAUCUGAAGGAACACCAGUGG
This 692-nucleotide ribosomal RNA is filed under the name uncultured bacterium. RNAcentral describes it as "bacterial SSU rRNA". It matches the Rfam family "Bacterial small subunit ribosomal RNA", at positions 44 to 715 of the family's 1533-position model. The record is from RNAcentral.